This 879-nucleotide ribosomal RNA is filed under the name Lithophaga curta. RNAcentral describes it as "small subunit ribosomal RNA". It matches the Rfam family "Microsporidia small subunit ribosomal RNA". Lineage: Eukaryota; Metazoa; Mollusca; Bivalvia; Mytilida; Mytilidae. The record is from RNAcentral.
AGGGUGUUUAAUCACGGCUCGUAGGUUUACAUGUAGGCUUAAAAACAGUGGUAUUGAUAAGAUUAGUGGGGCAGUUAUUACAAUUGAUCUCGACACCAGUUUGGGAAGCUGGGCAAUGUAAGGAAUUACGACCAGAGAGUGGCUAUAAGAGGAGCGGCUAAAUCUAGUGCCAGCAGCCGCGGUUAAACUAGUGAGUUUUUGUGUGUGAGUUUUUUUACACUUACUGUACUCUAGUAAACUUAGUUGGGUUGGUAAGAGCAAUUAUGUUAGAAAGUGUCAGUUUUAUGCUGGUGAGCAGUAAAAUGCGUUAGCUGGUUUGUUAUCCCUUAACUUUUUGUGAUGUUUUUACGAAACCGUGAAGAGAAACCUGGAUUAGAUACCCAGUUAUCCGCGGCGCAAGAAAGAUUUACUAGAUUACUAUGAGUUUGUUCUUAAAAGUCAAAUGAUUUGGCGGACUUACACUUAAACGUACAGGGGAAUCUGGGCAUUAAAGGAUGAUCCGCCUACAUUUGUUCCUUAUCUUAACUUCUGCACAUGUAUGGCCGUUUAAUAACUAUUGUUCGCAAGAGAUGUGUUAAAAAGUUUAAGUCGAUAAAUAGCAUUAUAAGCUAAUUUUGUAGCUAUAAAUGCGUUUUAUCGUUGAGCAAGUAAUGCAGGUUGUCAUUUGGCUAUUGAAAAGGCUAGCCUGGAUUACAGUUGAAAGUGAACAAAGCGAAUUAAUUCUGAUAAAUCGGGGCAAUGAAGGUGGACUUGUAAGUAAAUUUGUUAAAUAAUGGCAAAUUGAACGAAGUGUAGUAGUACAAAUCGCCCGUCGCUCGCGGGGUGACCUGUGAUAAGUCGUAACAAGGUGACGGUACGGGAACGUGUCGUGAAAUAAAG